RNAcentral lists this ribosomal RNA (727 nucleotides) under uncultured cyanobacterium. RNAcentral describes it as "bacterial SSU rRNA". It matches the Rfam family "Bacterial small subunit ribosomal RNA", at positions 35 to 795 of the family's 1533-position model. The record is from RNAcentral. Lineage: Bacteria; Bacillati; Cyanobacteriota.
GCUGGCGGUAUGCCUAACACAUGCAAGUCGUACGAGUAGUUUUUAACUCUAGUGGCGGACGGGUGAGUAACACGUGAGAAUCUGCCUUUAGGAGGGGGAUAACAAUUGGAAACGAAUGCUAAUACCCCAUAUGCUUUCGAGUGAAAUGGAUUUAUAUUUAUCCGCCUAGAGAGAAGCUCGCGGCUGAUUAGCUUGUUGGUAAGGUAAGAGCUUACCAAGGCGACGAUCAGUAUCUGGUUUGAGAGGACGAUCAGACACACUGGAACUGAGACACGGUCCAGACUCCUACGGGAGGCAGCAGUGGGGAAUUUUCCGCAAUGGGCGAAAGCCUGACGGAGCAAUACCGCGUGAGGGAAGACUGCCUAUGGGUUGUAAACCUCUUUUUUCAGGGAGGAAUCAAUGACGUGUACCUGAAGAAUAAGCAUCGGCUAACUCCGUGCCAGCAGCCGCGGUAAGACGGAGGAUGCAAGUGUUAUCCGGAAUCACUGGGCGUAAAGCGUCUGUAGGUGGUUUAAUAAGUCAACUGUUAAAUCUUGAGGCUCAACUUCAAAAUCGCAGUCGAAACUAUUAGACUAGAGUAUAGUAGAGGUAAAGGGAAUUUCCAGUGGAGCGGUGAAAUGCGUAGAUAUUGGAAAGAACACCGAUGGCGAAAGCACUUUACUGGGCUAUUACUAACACUCAGAGACGAAAGCUAGGGUAGCAAAUGGGAUUAGAUACCCCAGUAGUC